This 101-nucleotide microRNA precursor is filed under the name Marmota monax (woodchuck). Lineage: Eukaryota; Metazoa; Chordata; Mammalia; Rodentia; Sciuridae. The record is from RNAcentral.
AGUGCAACUGCUAAAUGGUAUGAUGAGAAUUGUCUGGUUUUAUAAGGAAUUGCUAAAUAUCUUCCAAAAUGUCUGUAUCAUUUUAUAUUCCCACCAGCAGU